AUUGAACGCUGGCGGCAUGCCUUACACAUGCAAGUCGAACGGAUCUAGGGGCUUGCUCCUAGGUUAGUGGCGAACGGGUGAGUAAUGCAUCGGAACGUACCCAGUCGUGGGGGAUAACGUAGCGAAAGUUACGCUAAUACCGCAUACGUCCUGAGGGAGAAAGCAGGGGAUCGCAAGACCUUGCGCGAUUGGAGCGGCCGAUGUCGGAUUAGCUAGUUGGUGGGGUAAAAGCCUACCAAGGCAACGAUCCGUAGCUGGUCUGAGAGGAUGAUCAGCCACACUGGGACUGAGACACGGCCCAGACUCCUACGGGAGGCAGCAGUGGGGAAUUUUGGACAAUGGGCGAAAGCCUGAUCCAGCCAUGCCGCGUGAGUGAAGAAGGCCU
RNAcentral lists this ribosomal RNA (385 nucleotides) under uncultured bacterium. Its description in RNAcentral is "bacterial SSU rRNA". It matches the Rfam family "Bacterial small subunit ribosomal RNA", at positions 30 to 417 of the family's 1533-position model. The record is from RNAcentral.